AGCUCAUCAGGUGUACUUGUACAAAGGAGGAGGGUGAGGGCGAGUAUGCUUCGAACCAAUCCAGAUGCAGCUGUUUUGAGAGCUAAUCACAAAGACUACAGCGCAGAACAUACCGCGUAGCUGGCCCAAACUCUCUAUAGCACCUAGAUGGUUAUCACAAGCUCAUAAGAGAGCCAGGGGUUCUUGAUAGGCCAUUCGAGCUCUGUCGGAUGGAUGUCCACCAUAACAUCAUCGUCCUGAAUUUGCCUGGCAUCACACCACGUGACAAAAGAGUGCCUUGAAUUGAAUAGGUCUGCGGUUUAUGUCAGAAUCAAGGGUGAGGACCAACCUCCCGUUACCGUGCACAACCAGCCACCCUCACCUGGAACGCCAAAUCCCCCUCCCUCUACCAUGCCGAGACGUCAGACAACAGCCCCCCCAUAGAAGAAAGACAUGUGUCCCUAUCACUAGGAA
Molecule: long non-coding RNA, 453 nt
Organism: Myxocyprinus asiaticus (Chinese sucker)
Lineage: Eukaryota; Metazoa; Chordata; Actinopteri; Cypriniformes; Catostomidae
Exons: 3
Source: RefSeq, a predicted model, not a curated record